RNAcentral lists this ribosomal RNA (512 nucleotides) under uncultured bacterium. Its description in RNAcentral is "bacterial SSU rRNA". It matches the Rfam family "Bacterial small subunit ribosomal RNA", at positions 8 to 518 of the family's 1533-position model. The record is from RNAcentral.
AGAGUUGAUCAUGGCUCAGGAUGAACGCUGGCGGCGUGCCUAACACAUGCAAGUCGAACGAAGCAUACGGACCGGAGAUUCGUCGAAGGACCGUAUGACUCAGUGGCGGACGGGUGAGUAAUGUAUGAGCAACCUGCCUUUCAGAGGGGGACAACAGUUGGAAACGACUGCUAAUACCGCGUAACGUAUCGUGAGGGCAUCCUCGUGAUACCAAAGGAGCAAUCCGCUGAAAGAUGGGCUCAUAUCUGAUUAGCUUGUUGGCGGGGUAACGGCCACCAAGGCGACGAUCAGUAGCCGGACUGAGAGGUUGAACGGCCACAUUGGGACUGAGAUACGGCCCAGACUCCUACGGGAGGCAGCAGUGGGGAAUAUUGGGCAAUGGGCGAAAGCCUCGACCCAGCAACGCCGCGUGAAGGAAGAAGGUCUUCGGAUUGUAAACUUCUUUUAUGAGGGACGAAGGACGUGACGGUACCUCAUGAAUAAGCCACGGCUAACUACGUGCCAGCAGCGGC